CAGGAGUUUCAGACCAGCCUGGGCAAUAUAGUGAGGCCCUGUCUCUGUCUAAGAAAUUUAAAAUAAAAAAAGCACUUUAUGUGCAACAGUUCUUUUAACUCUUUAAUUCUAUAAGGAAUCCAUUUUUCCUUUAAGUAGAUGAGGGCCCAGGGCCAUUAACUAAAGUAUCCAAGGUUACCUGACUUAGAGGUGAUUUUCCAAGAUCUCAAUUCAGGUCUCUCUACAUAUUUUUAAACAUUGCAUUGCCUUUCCAAAUGAACCAAUAUUUAUUAGCCAUUUUAUGCAAAUAAUUGGGCCAUGUAUUUAAAAAAUCAUUUCUUAUGUUCUUAUUUCAGCUGGUUUGCAAAGCGGCCCUGCUGGGGCUUGUAUAGGGUAAAUGAUGGGCUGAAGUUAAAGAUAUACAUAUGUAUAAGAUGUAUAGGAUGGCGUUUUGUUAACCCUGGAAAGUUAAAGAGAAUUAGAAGUUUUCAAUGUAACAUUUCCAGGCAGGAAAGUGUUAGCAUGUUAUGAAGAAUUUCCCUUCCUCUGAGCCAUUGGGCUUUUGCCAAGGCUUCAGGGUAGACGCUGCAUUAGUGGAAGAUGAAUUUGAUCCAAGAAGACAUCUUCUCAAUCCUUGUGUAAGAUUAGUCUGAGUAGGAAUCACUUGGUAACAAUUUGAAAUGGAGUUCGUUAGAUAAACAGAAAAACAUAGCUUUGUCUGGGUUGAGCCCAGAAAUGGGUGACAGAUGUUAAUGAUGAGUGACUGAACAGAUGUUUGGGGGAGAAUUACAAAAAGGGUUUCUAUCAUGCAGGAUCUAAACCUUAACCUUCCUGGCUGAUGCUGAAAGAGAGCUUGUAUGAAACACGUUCUUACAAAACUAUUUGGUGGAUCGUGACAAAGACGAAUGACUGGGUACUAUAAUUUAAAAUGGAAAAUAAGAAUUCAUGUUGAACCAUAAUCCACAAUGCAACAGUAUCAAGAGGUGUGGCCUUUAGGAGCUGAUUAGGCCACGAAGGCUCUGCCUCAUGGAUGGGAUCACCCUUAUAAAAAGACUUGAUGGAGUGCAUUCAGUCCCUUUUUUGCUCCUUCCAUUCCUUCCACCUUGUGGGAAUACAGCAUGCCCUCUGGAAGAUGCAGCAACACAGCACCAUUUUGGAUGCAGAGACCACAUUCUUGCAAGACACCAAACCUGCUAAUGCCUUGAUUUUGGACUUCCAGCCUCCAGAACUAUAAGAAAUAUAUUUCUGUUCUUUAUAAAUGACCCAGUCUCAGGUAUUUUGUUACUGCCAUAGGAACAGACUAAGACAGGGCCCAAAUUGCCCCAUCUGUGGAUUUCAGAGGUCCCUGAUCUGAAUGGCAGAAGAGGAGUUUGCUGUGCCUAUCUGCUGAACUGUACACCACUCCCGUACAAAAAGGCCAUGAGGCUCUGGCAGUGCCUGCUCUACAUACCAGGUUUGUUUGAGUAACCAAAGGACUCAUCAAAGGCUGCUUAACCACUGCUAGUUGUUAGCAGAGAUGGGCAGAAAGAAUCAUUUUCACUUCCUUGUCAUUUCCUAAAACUGCCCCUCCCAAGGAUUAGGAACAGGCACAUCCCCACCAUGAGUGAUCAGGGCUCUAUAAGGUGCAUUUGUGCAUCACAUCAACACUCAUUAAAAACAAUGAGACAGUAACUGCAAAAAGACAUUACUUCACCCCGGCAGCAAGUUCCCAGGGGCAAACUUGCCAUCUGCUAGGCAGCGCUAGGAACCAGAAAACUUUUGAAGCAAUUCAGUUGGAUCCUCCAGCUUUGAAGCAUCUGGUUGGUAACUGUGCUAUCAGCAUGAAGUUACCUUCUCAGUUUCAAACACCCCAGUGUUGGAACCUGAAGAUAGAAUUCCUGUGGUUUAGACACAAAUGCCUGCUACUAGGAUUUACAGAUGGGGCUCUCCUUUAAGUCUUAGGAGACAUGGCUCAGAAAUGAUCAUGCAAUCUCUCAACAAUUUCUCAGGAAUGACCAACAGUCUCUCAGAAUACAGCAAAACAUCUGUUUCUUACAUGUAACUCCACCGAACACAGGCUGCCUUCCCCAUACACAUGUUUUUCUGGCGGGGAUUGUAUGACAUGUGAAUUCAAAGGACCAUUUCUUUUGCCCCAUGACAAGCCUUUCAGAGGGUGAAGUGCUUGGAUUUAGAGUGAUUCUCCUUAGAGGAUUUACCCCCAGUUGUUGAAAUAUGGCAAAUACCAAGUGUCCACGAUUUAUUAUAAGACAAUAAAGUGAUUGUUCCUUAUGGAGUACUCCCUACACUCUGGAGAAAAGCAAA
RNAcentral lists this long non-coding RNA (2280 nucleotides) under Homo sapiens (human). Its description in RNAcentral is "HSALNT0364255". Lineage: Eukaryota; Metazoa; Chordata; Mammalia; Primates; Hominidae. The record is from RNAcentral.